CCGAGCGGACAACGCCAUAACGUAGCCUGCCUUCUUUUAGGCACAGGAGAGGGCGGCGGGAGAACGUGCUGAUGGCGUAACAGAAAAGGGGUGAAUGGGAAAGAACGCGCCGGCCACCUGGAGCUUAGGCUCGAGGCGUUCUGGACACUUCAUCCGGCCCCAGAGGCCCGUAUCUCCCUAUUCGGGAACUGUACAGGUCCAUUUUAUAGGCAAGAAGGGAAACGUAAAGGAGGUGGUCCUGCAGGUGAGCUUUCAAAGUCAGGCGUGUAAGUGUGUAAGUAGGUGGAAAUCCAGAUACUCGAGGAAACCAGAAUAAUUCAGGAUCCAGCCCGAUGUUAAAGAGGUCAUGUAGACUUCUGGGUUUUCUGUGCCUCUAAGAUUGUCCUAGUGAUGUAGUUCCUGCUUGGGAAAACAUGCAGAAAUUAACAGUUGAAAAAAAUGCUUUCUGGAGGAAGUCUCUGAGUUAAGUCUCUGAGUUUAUGGUCUUUUUUGAUUUGAUAGUUAUUAAAGUUCCUUUCCAGUGGUUCCCGGCUGUUUUAUUUAAGCAACAGCUAUUAGGGAUAAAUUCUUUCUCUUAGACUGUGUGAAUAGUUUUAGAAAUUUAAUAGAGUUCAACAAAAAUGUUCUUUGCUCUCAAGGACCUUAGAUUUGUGUAUGGAAUGCAAAGAUACAAUACAUAGUCAAUAAAAUGAGAUUAAAUUCAGUGAUGAUGCUGUGCCACAGUGUCUUCUAGGAGUGCAGGAGGAGUGAUUUCAACCUUGCCUUGGGGAGUCUGGGAAGUUUUCUUGAACACGUCGAAGUAGUGGGUGUGGUAGUGAAGCCACCAGGUGUGCCUCCUUAGUAAAAAUUUAAGUAUUUGGAAAUGACAUUUUGAAAUAGUAGCUGUCCCCUAAACUUGUCAUACUACGUAAACUAAAGUAGCAAAUUCAGUUCUUGAUAAAUAAAACUACAUAUUUUAUUUAUUAACAUUUCUAUUUAUUACUAACAGUUGUAGUUUGAGGAUUUUUCUCCCUUAAGUUAUUGGCUUUAAUAUUUAGGGGCUUCACCUGUGACUCUAAUACUUCUCUUACUAGGGACCAUCUAGUAUAGAAAUUCAGUAAUAGCAGAUAAUACCAAAAUCGCCUUCAGUUAUACUCAGAAAUAGAGACAUUUUUCUUGCAAGUCUUUUUUUUGUCUCAUUCUAGCAUGACUAGGAUUCAAAUGCAUAGCUAAUA
Zalophus californianus (California sea lion) is the source of this 1214-nucleotide long non-coding RNA. RefSeq lists it as uncharacterized. The record is from RefSeq and is a predicted model, not a curated record. The transcript has 3 exons. Lineage: Eukaryota; Metazoa; Chordata; Mammalia; Carnivora; Otariidae.